Euleptes europaea (tarantolino) is the source of this 261-nucleotide long non-coding RNA. RefSeq lists it as uncharacterized. The transcript is spliced from 3 exons. NCBI's taxonomy places the organism in Eukaryota, Metazoa, Chordata, Lepidosauria, Squamata, Sphaerodactylidae. The record is from RefSeq and is a predicted model, not a curated record.
GCUCUCGCCGUCGAGUGAUUUCUUUCAUUCUCCAAGACUGAGGCCUUCUCAGGGUGGGAUGGCCUCUCACCAGCCUCCGCUGUCGGGGAAACACGGGCUGCUGAGUUUGCGUGGAAAGAGCGGCAGCGUGGAUUCCGACCUGCAGUUCCUCGGGCUGAAUAACCACCGGCACGAGACAGACUCUGUCCGUGCCAGCCUGAGUUUCACCAGCAAGCCCCAGCGGACCUUCUGCAGCCCGCCCGAGCCUGCCCCGCCUCUCCU